GAUGAACGCUGGCGGCGUGCCUAAUACAUGCAAGUCGAGCGGACGGACGAGAAGCUUGCUGCUCUGAUGGUAGCGGCGGCCGGGUGGGGAACACGUGGAUAACCUACCUAUAAGACUGGGAUGACUUCGGGAAACCGGAGCUAAUACCGGGUGAUAUUUUGAACCGGACGGUUCAAGAGUGAAAGACGGUCUUGCUGUCACUUAUAGAUGGAUCCGCGCUGCAUUAGCUAGUUGGUAGGGUAACGGCUUACCAAGGCAACGAUGCAUAGCCGGCCUGAGAGGGUGAUCGGCCACACUGCAACUGAGACACGGUCCAGCCUCCUACGGGAGGCAGCAGUAGGGAAUCUUCCGCAAUGGGCGAAAGCCUGACGGAGCAGCGCCGCGGGAGUGAUGAAGGUCUUCGUAUCGUAGAACUCUGUUAUUAGGGAAGAACAUAUGUGGAAUUAACUGUGCACAGCUUGACGGUACCUAAUCAGAAAGCCCCGGCUAACUACGUG
This 497-nucleotide ribosomal RNA is filed under the name uncultured bacterium. RNAcentral describes it as "partial 16S ribosomal RNA". It matches the Rfam family "Bacterial small subunit ribosomal RNA", at positions 28 to 507 of the family's 1533-position model. The record is from RNAcentral.